This 373-nucleotide ribosomal RNA is filed under the name uncultured bacterium. RNAcentral describes it as "bacterial SSU rRNA". It matches the Rfam family "Bacterial small subunit ribosomal RNA", at positions 917 to 1291 of the family's 1533-position model. The record is from RNAcentral.
GGGCCCGCACAAGCGGUGGAGCAUGUGGUUUAAUUCGAUGAUACGCGAGGAACCUUACCAGGGCUUAAAUGUAGUAUGACCGGUCUAGAAAUAGGCCUUCUCUUCGGAGCAGAUUACAAGGUGCUGCAUGGUUGUCGUCAGCUCGUGCCGUGAGGUGUUAGGUUAAGUCCUGCAACGAGCGCAACCCCUAUUCUUAGUUGCCAGCGGUUCGGCCGGGGACUCUAAGAAGACUGCCAGCGCAAGCUGAGAGGAAGUGGGGAUGACGUCAAAUCAUCAUGCCCCUUACAUCCUGGGCUACACACGUACUACAAUGCUACGGACAAAGGGGCAGCAAGUUCGCGAGGACAAGCAAAUCCCAUAAACCGUGGCUCAG